This 450-nucleotide ribosomal RNA is filed under the name uncultured bacterium. Its description in RNAcentral is "bacterial SSU rRNA". It matches the Rfam family "Bacterial small subunit ribosomal RNA", at positions 29 to 507 of the family's 1533-position model. The record is from RNAcentral.
AACGAACGCUGGCGGUAUGCUUAACACAUGCAAGUCGAACGGAAUUUACGAGAGCUUGCUCUUGUAAAUUCAGUGGCAAACGGGUGAGUAAUGUAGAGGAAUCUACCCUUUAGUACGGAAUAACUCUGGGAAACCAGAGCUAAUACCGUAUACUACCCUUCGGGGGAAAGAUUUAUCGCUAAAGGAUGAGCCUCUAUCGGAUUAGCUUGUUGGUGGGGUAAAGGCCUACCAAGGCAAUGAUCCGUAGCUGGUCUGAGAGGAUGAUCAGCCACACUGGAACUGAGACACGGUCCAGACUCCUACGGGAGGCAGCAGUGGGGAAUAUUGGACAAUGGGCGCAAGCCUGAUCCAGCAAUACCGCGUGAGUGAUGAAGGCCUUCGGGUUGUAAAGCUCUUUUAGUAGGGAAGAUAAUGACGGUACCUACAGAAAAAGCACCGGCAAACUUCGUG